This 163-nucleotide small RNA is filed under the name Manihot esculenta (cassava). Lineage: Eukaryota; Viridiplantae; Streptophyta; Magnoliopsida; Malpighiales; Euphorbiaceae. The record is from RNAcentral.
GUUUCAGAAGAAGAGAGGCCUAGCAUGAACAUAACGAGUCUUGUUUGGUAGACAAGGAUGACUUGCCUGAUCCUUUUCUUCAAUGGGAGAGUUCUCAGGCAGUCUCCUUGUCUAACUUGACAGACUCGUUACUUUCGUGCUAGGCCUUCUCUUCUAGAUCAAC